RNAcentral lists this ribosomal RNA (403 nucleotides) under Verrucomicrobiota bacterium. Its description in RNAcentral is "Verrucomicrobia bacterium partial 16S ribosomal RNA". It matches the Rfam family "Bacterial small subunit ribosomal RNA", at positions 355 to 776 of the family's 1533-position model. Lineage: Bacteria; Pseudomonadati; Verrucomicrobiota. The record is from RNAcentral.
UGGGGAAUAUUGCGCAAUGGGGGCAACCCUGACGCAGCAACGCCGCGUGCGGGACGACGGCCUUCGGGUUGUAAACCGCUUUCAGCAGGGAAGAUAGUGACGGUACCUGCACAAGAAGCCCCGGCUAACUACGUGCCAGCAGCCGCGGUAAUACGUAGGGGGCGAGCGUUAUCCGGAUUCAUUGGGCGUAAAGCGCGCGCAGGCGGCUCUUCAAGCGGAACCUCUAACCCCGGGGCUCAACCUCGGGCCGGGUUCCGAACUGGAGGGCUCGAGUGCGGUAGAGGCAGGCGGAAUUCCCGGUGUAGCGGUGGAAUGCGCAGAUAUCAGGAGGAACACCGGUGGCGAAGGCGGGUCUCUGGGCUGUUACUGACGCUGAGGAGCGAAAGCGUGGGGAGCGAACAGG